Molecule: ribosomal RNA, 521 nt
Filed under: uncultured bacterium
Lineage: Bacteria
Description: bacterial SSU rRNA
Rfam family: Bacterial small subunit ribosomal RNA
Source: RNAcentral
AGUGAGGAAUCUUCCACAAUGGACGAAAGUCUGAUGGAGCGACACCGCGUGAAGGAUGAAGGUCUAACGAUUGUAAACUUCUUUUCUGAGGGAGCAUAAUGAGAGUACCUCAGGAAUAAGGGACGGCUAAUCACGUGCCAGCAGCCGCGGUAAUACGUGAGUCCCGAGCAUUACCCGGAAUUACUGGGUGUAAAGCGUUUGUAGGCGGAUAUAUAAGUCAGAUAUGAAAGACCGGAGCCCAACUUCGAGUUUGUGUUUGAAACUAUAUAUCUAGAAUCAGGAAGAGGUAAGCGGAAUUCUAAGUGUAGGGGUGCAAUCCGUAGAUACUUAGAAGAACACCAAAAGCGAAGGCAGCUUACUGGGACUGUAUUGACGCUGAGAAACGAAAGCGUGGGGAGCGAAAAGGAUUAGAUNCCCUUGUAGUCCACGCCCUAAACGAUGAUAACUAAGUGUUGGAGUUUACUUCAGUGCUGUAGCUAACGCGUUAAGUUAUCCACCUGAGGAGUACGGUCGCAAGAUUA